Molecule: ribosomal RNA, 69 nt
Filed under: Methanococcoides methylutens
Lineage: Archaea; Methanobacteriati; Methanobacteriota; Methanomicrobia; Methanosarcinales; Methanosarcinaceae
Description: partial 16S ribosomal RNA
Source: RNAcentral
UAACUCUGGUUGAUCCUGCCAGAGGUUACUGCUAUCGGUAUUCGACUAAGCCAUGCGAGUUAAAUGUUC